ACAUGGGGGAAAGCUGUCAUUAGUUAGUCAGUUGUCACGUAGUUAGUUACAACUAACACUCCUGCUAAUGGAGCUGCACUCCUUAUAAACUGAUAGUUGGGUAUUGUAAAGGCAAGGAUUGUUUCUGAAAGCAAUACUAUCUUCUCUCUCUUUCUUUUUACAAAUCUGAGCUCCCAAUUAGGGUUCUGAGUGUAGGAUAUUCACUCUUUAGGUUCUGUCGCGUGGCUUUUAAUUCGAUUAAAGGAUUCCGAGUUGCAUCAUCUUAUGUUAUAGUUGAAUUAAUUUAAUGUUAAUACCUUGUUUUCCUGCAGGAAUCCAUGGAGCCUUCAGUAAAAGAGAGGGAAAUAGUUACUGCUGAAGUUUUAGAGAAAGCAGUGUUUGAUAUAUUGGUAAGAUCACCAAUAAAAUCUCUUCUUCGAAACAAGCUCAUCUCUAAAGGAGUAGCUAGUAUCAUAACAUCUACCGACUUUAUUGAGUCACAUAUGGAAAGAAGUUGUUGAUCCUAUGACCUUGUUACCUUUGCCAAUGAUUCUAAAAAAUAUGGAUAUGCAUCUGUUCUGUUGUCUAAGGAGGAUCCUGAUUGAUCAGAAUCUGUAGAUCUACUUAAUUUUGAGCUCCUCUCUACUUGCCGGGGGAUUAGUGCUUGUGGUGGAUAACAGAUCAGCUGUUAAACAACAACUUUAUGUUUCCAACCCCGCUAUCAAGAAAACAGUAGCACUGCCAAUAAAUAAACAAAUCACUCUAUAUUUUUACGGCUGGGUUAGGAUUUAAUGUUGAGGAAAACACUUAUAAAGUCCUUGUUCUUUCGACAAACGAGCGUAAUAAGAUGUAUAUAUGUUGGUUUAGACCUUCUAACAUUGAUGAGCCGAUUGAAUGGGAAGAUGUGAGCAGUCUGGCUCCAUCUAGUUAUGCACGAAAAAAGAAUGUGUUCAUGAAAGGGGCGAUACACUGGGUUGCCUAUAAAAAGGCAGAUGAAACCCAUCAGAGAAAUAGUGUUCUAUUUUAUAAUGUAAAGACGGAGAAUUUUUCAGAAAUAUAUUUUCCUUCCAGCAUAGAAGUUACUAUCGCUUCAAAUUACUUGUUGGGUGGGGAGGAUUUUAAAGUGGAUAUUUCUACAACUGAUCAGUCCAUUUAGUUGGUGGUUGGUUCCUUUCUUCAUGACAUUGGGUUCGAUAUUUGGAUUAUGAACCAAUAUGGGAAUCCAAUCUCUUGGAGCAAGAGAUCCCAUAUUUCACCUUUUACCAUACCGCGUAACACUGACUACAGAUUGAAUGAGUGCCUACCUGAACAAACUUGGAUGGAUCGGUUGUCUAACAGAGAGAUUGAUUUGAUGAUAAAUUGGAUGAGCCCCUUGGGAUAAGACACGGGGAAGCUGUUUGGUGGAAAACAAAAAAAAGGUUUUUGUCCUUACAUGAUGCUGCAACAAGGAACAUCAGGUAUGCCCCCAAUAUUAGGCACACUCAAGUAGAAGGGUUAUAACUCUUUCCAGAUCCCAUGUUUGUUGCUAAGUACAAGGAGUCCCUUGUGUUGCUAUCGAAGGCCCAUUUCCAAAUUUCUACCAACCCUCUCUCUAGACCGCUUCCUCCGCUGUUGGAUGGCCUCCCUACAGCAGCUGUGCAAAAGGAGAUUAGUGUGCUGAACCAACACAAUGAUAAACUAGUUGGUGUGUUGCAUGAUACUAGAUCUAGGGAGAUUGUUGUCUUGUGCCAUGGAUUCAAAUCCUCGAAGGUUUGAACUGUUCCAAUUCUACUAUAGUUCUUGUUCUUCAUUUGCCUAUCAAGCACUUUCUUCAAAUUCUCUACUAAACUUGUUUUGUCAAGUGCCACAGGACAAGUCAUCUAGUCCAGUGGAGCUGACAUAAGUUUUUAGAAAGUAAGUUGUCCCGGCUGUUUUAGAUCUAUUUAGUACUACCAUGCCACCACUGUAACAUUCUGAUUUUAUCUUUACGAAUCUCUUGAGCUGCUAUGGUGUGAAUGUGAACAUCCUAAAAAAAUAAUUGAAUGAGAAGAGAAGAUGUUCAGUUAGGAUUGGCUUAUGAAUCUGCGCUAACCAUGUUCCUGAUUUGAAUUCAUUUCGGGCGAACAUAAUACAAAAUAAAAAUAAAGAUGAGAAGUACUGAUAGUCAUCACUAAAGUAAAUGUAUUAACAUGAUUAAAAUAUAUUCCCUAGUAAUAGUAUUGCCUAUAUAAAUCUUUUUCUUCCACUCGCUGUAUUCCACUAAUCUGCAUUGGUACUGAGAGACUGUAGGUCUUUCAAGACACUUCCAUUCAAUUUGUUUUUAAUUCUACCUCAUCUCACUUUUAACAUCUUCACUCAUCAUGGCUUCACACAUAUGGACACAUCUGAAGGUCAACGGAAGACAUGACCAAACGACCAAGCAUACUCUCUCAUUUGAAGUUUGCUAAAUCUGCAUUUUGAUAGAUGUGUAAGAAUGAUGUCAGAUAAUUCCCUAGUAGUAGGCUACAAUAACAUACCCGAUGUGAUCCCAUGAUUAGGGUUUAAAGAGGGUAAAUUGUACGCAAACCUUACCCCUACAUUCUGUGAGGUACAGAGGUUAUUUCCAAUAGACCCUUGGAUUCCCAAGUAGUAGAAUGCACCAAGGAUGUCUUGUUGAUAAGAUUUUUAGGUUGUAUUGUUUCAAAAUUCUUUGAUUUUAACAAAUUUUUUGCUGAUUUUUUGUUGAUUCGUGAUUGGUUAGGACUGACGCUUUUUUGUUGUUGUGGUGGUACGGUUUCUUGAUGUCAAUAUUUAGGUUCAUUUGAGGUAAACAAAUCUAGUUUGGCAAUGCCCUUGGUAAGGCACAUUGGGUUAUACUAGUAGAGCAUCAGUAUUUAGCUAGUGCUCAGCCAAUCGUCCAGCAUCUAGUCAUACAAAUAUAAGUACGAGCGGUAGUUUAGGAAUUACUUGUAUCAAUAUGAUGCAAGUACUUGCAAAUUUUCUUUCUACUUUUUCGAGCAAAUUGUUAUGAAGAGAUAAAACUUUUAAGUUUAAGUAUCACAGCAGAUGACUGUUUCUCCAUGCUUCUUUAUUGGACUUCGACAUUUUGGUGAAUCUUGCUUCUGCUAUGGAAAAAGAAAGUAUCAGUGCAUUUCACUUUAAUUUUCCUGGAAAUGGGUAAGCCCUUGGUAUUAAAAGCACCAUCUAUAUUGUUUGGUCGACACCCCUUCACUACGUGUGGCUCCACCACUGUUCAUCACCCUUCACCUAUAUCUCUAUGUUACAACUCUUCAUUACCCAAGUCUCUAACUUUUCAGCUAAGUUUUAGUUGAAAGAUGAAAGCAUCUACAAUAAAAGGAUAUAUUAAUGUCCAAAAAGAUUAAUAGAUUAUACUAAAUAUUGGGCACAUGCAGAGAAUUCAGCUAAUAUUAAAAUUUAAUUGACAAAAUAUUUAAUAUAGUAUAGGGGUAUAAUGGUAAUUCAACUUUGAAGUUAAAACCUUCCCACUUAUAAUAAUACAAGACAAAACAACAAGCAAUAUACAUUAUAUAAAAAAAGUCUUUCAAUUUAAAGAUAUUGAUAAUAAACAAAUGGAAAAGUUGAUCAAUAUUAAAGGAAAAAACUAUCUUUCCUUUCUGAAAAUUAAAAAAAAACUUACGUUGGACAUAUCUCGUGGAAGAAGUAUAGUUAUAUAUCAAUAUAAUAAUUGAAAUAUUCUUAGAGAAGACAUAGUUAUUUAUCAAAAAAUUAUGACCUUUGGACUUUUUUUUACCUAAAUUUCCAAGAAAAUAAAAAAUGAAAAAUAAAAAUUUAAAAGAGAAAAAUGAUAAUCUAACUUUGAAGUUAGGAGCUUCCCACUUAUAAUAACACCAGGCCAAUUAUGUGAAAGUAAUAAGCAAGAAACCUGUAAAAAUAUUAAUAAUUAGACAUACAAAGACAAUGAGUUAACUAAUGAUAAAUGUAAUUUCUAAUCGAACAAAAUCAAUAUAAUUGAUAUGGAUUAUAUUUUGACAAAUAAAUGUAUGGAAGUUUCACAAACAAAAACCAUUUUUCAAAGUUGAAAGCCUCAAUUAAAGAAUUGCUCAGACAAAAGGCUAAAGGUGGAAAGAAAUCAAAAACAAAACAUGUUAAUAAACCAAUGAAAUUCAAGAGGAAACGAAAGUAACAAAACAAAAACAAUUGUAUAUUGACAGUGAAAUAUUAGCAGUGAUCAUAUACAUACCUGGAAAAAAUGUGUCACGACCCAAAUCCGGACCGUGACUGGCACCCACACUUACCCUCCUAUAUGAGAGAACCAACCAAUCUAAACUCUAACAUUUCAAUAUAAUAUCAAUAGUAAAUAAUGCGG
Solanum lycopersicum (tomato) is the source of this 4285-nucleotide long non-coding RNA. RefSeq lists it as uncharacterized. The record is from RefSeq and is a predicted model, not a curated record. NCBI's taxonomy places the organism in Eukaryota, Viridiplantae, Streptophyta, Magnoliopsida, Solanales, Solanaceae.